AACUUGAAGAGUUUGAACAUGAUUUAGAUUGAACGCUGGCAGUAAGCCUAAUACAUGCAAUUCGAACGGCAGUACAAAAGAGCUUGCUCUUUGGUUGGCGCGAGUAACUGACGGGUGAGUAAUGUCUGGGAAACUACCAGAUGAAGGGGGUCAACUAUUGGAAACGAUAGCUAAUAUCGCAUAAUGUCGUAAGACCAAAGUGGAGGAUCUUAGGGCUUUACACCAUCGGAUGUACCCAGAUGGGAUUAGCUAGUAGAUGGGAUAAUAGCUCACUUAGGCAGAUCUCUAGCUGGUCUGAGAGGAUAACCAGCAACACUGGAACUGAGACGGUCCAGACUCCUACGAGAGGCAGCAGUGGGGAAUAUUGCACAAUGGGCAAAAGCCUGAUGCAGCUAUGCCGCGUGUAUGAAGAAGGCCUUCGGGUUGUAAAGUACUUUCAGUGGGGAAGAAGGCGAUAAAACUAAUAAUUUUAUCGAUUGGUUUAAUUCAAUGCAACGUGAAGAACUUUACUUAACUUUAACAUACAGAAAAAUUUUCGGAUAUAAAUCGGUAUCUUUAGGAUAGCUUAAGAAGUUCUAUAUGGCUGUUAUCAGCUGGCUGUUAUCAGCUCGUAUUAUAAAAUAUUGGAUUAAAUCCUGCAAACGAGCAACAACCCUUAUCUUUUGUUGUUAUUAGUUCUCCUAAAAAAUUCAAAGGAGACUGCCGGUGAUAAACUGGAGAAAGGUAGGGAUGAUGUCAGGUUAUCAUGAUCCUUAUGAUUAGGGCUACACACGUGCUACGUCUAUAUUGGAGUCUGCAACUCGACUCUCUAUUAAGUCGGAAUUGCUAAUAAUUGUAGAUUAGCCAUACUAUAGUGAAUAAGUUCCUAAACCUUGUAUUCACUGUCCGUCACCUCAUGAGAGUAGAUUGCAAAAGAAGUAGGUAAUUUUAUCCUUUUAUAAAGGUAGUUUAUUACUUUAUGAUUUAUGACUGGAGUAAAGUAGUAACAAGAUAACUGUAGGGAAAUAUGCGAUUGAGAUACCUU
Molecule: ribosomal RNA, 1024 nt
Filed under: Pantoea sp. Aalb
Lineage: Bacteria; Pseudomonadati; Pseudomonadota; Gammaproteobacteria; Enterobacterales; Erwiniaceae
Description: 16S ribosomal RNA
Rfam family: Bacterial small subunit ribosomal RNA
Source: RNAcentral